AAACUCGAAAGGAAGUUGACGGGGCCGCACAGCGGUGGAGCAUGUGGUUUAAUUCGAAGCAACGCGAAGAACCUUACCAGGUCUUGACAUCCCUGACAACCCGAGAGAUCGGCGUUCCCCUUCGGGGGGACAGGGUGACAGGUGGUGCAUGGUUGUCGUCAGCUCGUGUCGUGAGAUGUUGGGUUAAGUCCCGCAACGAGCGCAACCCUCGACCUUAGUUGCCAGCAUUCAGUUGGGCACUCUAAGGUGACUGCCGGCUAAAAGUCGGAGGAAGGUGGGGAUGACGUCAAAUCAUCAUGCCCCUUAUGACCUGGGCUACACACGUGCUACAAUGGGCGGUACAAAGGGUCGCGAACCCGCGAGGGGGAGCCAAUCCCAAAAAGCCGCUCUCAGUUCGGAUUGCAGGCUGCAACUCGCCUGCAUGAAGCCGGAAUCGCUAGUAAUCGCGGAUCAGCAUGCCGCGGUCGAAUACGUUCCCGGGCCUU
Molecule: ribosomal RNA, 485 nt
Filed under: uncultured Anoxybacillus sp.
Lineage: Bacteria; Bacillati; Bacillota; Bacilli; Caryophanales; Anoxybacillaceae
Description: bacterial SSU rRNA
Rfam family: Bacterial small subunit ribosomal RNA
Source: RNAcentral